GUGGGGAAUUUUGGACAAUGGGCGAAAGCCUGAUCCAGCAAUGCCGCGUGCAGGAUGAAGGCCUUCGGGUUGUAAACUGCUUUUGUACGGAACGAAAAAGCUCCUUCUAAUACAGGGGGCCCAUGACGGUACCGUAAGAAUAAGCACCGGCUAACUACGUGCCAGCAGCCGCGGUAAUACGUAGGGUGCGAGCGUUAAUCGGAAUUACUGGGCGUAAAGCGUGCGCAGGCGGUUAUGUAAGACAGAUGUGAAAUCCCCGGGCUCAACCUGGGAACUGCAUUUGUGACUGCAUGGCUAGAGUACGGUAGAGGGGGAUGGAAUUCCGCGUGUAGCAGUGAAAUGCGUAGAUAUGCGGAGGAACACCGAUGGCGAAGGCAAUCCCCUGGACCUGUACUGACGCUCAUGCACGAAAGCGUGGGGAGCAAACAGGAUUAGAAACCCCAGUAGUCC
RNAcentral lists this ribosomal RNA (450 nucleotides) under uncultured bacterium. Its description in RNAcentral is "bacterial SSU rRNA". It matches the Rfam family "Bacterial small subunit ribosomal RNA", at positions 354 to 796 of the family's 1533-position model. RNAcentral also lists the same sequence under 1 other name. The record is from RNAcentral.